This 6389-nucleotide long non-coding RNA is filed under the name Panax ginseng (ginseng). RNAcentral describes it as "long non-coding RNA (PGIN_LNC011611)". The record is from RNAcentral. Lineage: Eukaryota; Viridiplantae; Streptophyta; Magnoliopsida; Apiales; Araliaceae.
UUUAAAAUAAUUUUUUGUAAUUUAUUUAUUAUUUUUAAUGAUUAAAAACCAUUUAAUUUGAUUUAUUAAAUUAAUUAAUCUAUUUUGCAAAAAUAAUUGUCUCUAAAGGACCCUAUAGCGACAGACCCGUCGCUAUAGGUGUUCUUGAGCCUGCCCAGAUAAGCAAGUCAGUCACCGAGUUGGUAUGUUUGACCACAAAUGAAUCUGCGUUCCGGUCGAUUUUUGGGCUUGAUAAUGGUCAGAUCCUGUAGUAUUGAUGCAACACUACAUGAUCUAACCAUCAUUAGGGUUAUAAUGCAUCACACAAGCACGAUCUAGACUUCUAAAAAGUCUGACAAAGCUGUUCUUCAUUUCUGGGUUCUCCAGAAAUGAAGAACAGUUGCUACUACCUCUUUUGGAUCCUUAUAAAAUGCAUAUUUAAGAUUUCUUUGUGUGAUAUGAAGGUUCAUAUAUGUAGUGGAGAUGUCAGUGAACAACUUGAUAUCCUUAGAUUAGUCUAACAACAACAUUACACGAAGAUGUAGGCCGGUCAAACUACUUGUCAGGAACUCGGCUGAUGAAGAUCUGGGUUACCCAGAAUCUUCAUCCGGCGUGAUGGUCAACGCCUGUUUGACCCACAAUUUCUAUGAUUCUGUUACGGUGUUUGGUGAUCUAAAGGCAUGAGUGUGAAGUCCUUAUACGUGUCUACAACAUAUAAACAACAACAUAACAAAAACAAUAACAUACAGUAAGAUCAAAGACUCAGAAAACGUUGUCAGACGAGAUCUGGGCUUCUGGGUUGCCCAGAAACUCAGUCUCUAUGACCGGUCAACGCAGUUUGACUGCUCAUAUCUCUCAAUCCUAUCAUGAUCUGGCCAUGUUUAUAGUUUCAGAUCAAAGUUCUCAUGACAUAGAACACAUUUAUAACAUAAAACAACACAAAGCAAAAAUAGAGAAGGAUUUACAGGCCUUGACAUUAGCUUGGCAGGCCAUAUUUCUAACUUUUUCCAGAUUUUAAAAAUCAUCAAAUCCGAGCAUUUUGAUGUUAUGGAUCUGGGAUUUAACAACCCAGAUCACUAAAAGACACCUUAUUACACAUCUUUAACCAAUCAAUUACAACUUUUAACAUCAAAUCAAAAUAUUUUAAAAAUUAGGGUUCUUAUACCUUUUGAAGCUAUGAUUCUGAUUCUGAUCCUUGAUGAUCUGAUAUUUGAUAGUUAUGGACUGAUCAUGUCUUAUCUUAUAUCACUUUCUCACUCUACAUUUUUCGGAUUUUAGAGAGAGAAGGUCUUGGAGAGAAAUAAAAAUGUAAGUGGCCAUUUCUCUCUCUUUAAUCUCUAUAAAUGACUUGAUGCAAUGGAAUGGCUGGAAAUUUCUGCUGAGAUAGCUCGUAAUUGUCAAAUGCUAUGCUUAGGGUUGGCCACCAACUCACAAUAGGUCAAUUCUUGCAAGUUAAGUCACAAUAAUGCACUAAGGACAUUUUAGUCUUUUCGUAUACAAAAUUAAUGGCAUUCUUAUCAAUUAGCCAAACCCUUAGGGUUUAGGGUUUGGGUUAGGGUUUAUAAUUUGGACCAUUUUAGGAUUUAGGGUUUAACCCUUAACUUGCAAUUUAUUUUUCUAAAAUUUCCAAUUUAGGUUUUUAAAAUAGAAAAUUAACAUUUUCAAAAUUAUAAUUAUAAUUUUCUAAUUAUAUUAAAAUUUCUUAAUCAUUACUUAAAUCUUGCUAAUUAGGAUUAGCAUUUCCUAAUUCCAAUCGCUAAUUAAAUAAUUAGGGUCAAAAUGGUCAUUAGGGUUUAUAAACCACUAAUUAGGGUUUUCAAUAGAAAAAAAAAUAAUUUUCUAAUUUAGAAAUUAAAUUUCGUAAUUAGAUUAGGGUUUUCUAAUUGCUUAAUUUUGAAAAUUAGGAUUAAUAUUUCCUAAUUAAUAUUAAAAUUAUUAAAUUAACACUUAGGUUUUUUUCCCGAAUUAUAAAUUAGGGUUUCUUAUCCCGAAAUUAGGGUUUUCUAAAUUUAAAAUUAGGGUUUACUAAAUAAUUAAGCUUUACCCUAAUUAAUAUUAUAAUUAAUAGCACUUAAGCAUUAUAAUUAUCCUUUACGUUCCAAGAUUAGGGUUUCAUACAUCGAAUUAGGGUUUCGAAUUUCCCCAAACCGACAUUAGUGUUUCAGAACCGGUUUUAGGGUUUCUUGUUAAUCUCUAGGAUUUUCUAACCGAACGUUGACGUUCUUAAUAUAUACGUAGGGUUUGUUACAGAUAUCAUUUAUCUGGUCAACCCUUGACCCUUAACCACAUACUGUACACAUAUUCAUAGAACAUAUUCGCUUAUUCCCUUAAUCAUGAAUAAUUCACCUAAAUCCUUAACAGAAUUUUGAAAUCCUCAAAAUUCUAUCUUAAAAAUAUCAAACACAUACACUUAUUUUCUGUCUAGGUUCAAAUUAUGAACCUUAAAUUAAUUAAUAAAAAUUUUAAAAAUAUUCAAAAUUCUCGGGUUGUCACAUUCACCCCUUCUUCUAAAAAUUUCGUCCCCGAAAUUUACCUUACACCUUACACCAUACACCAUACAUACACAACAUCUCAUGCUACCCAAUAAACCACUCACAAGAGUAAAAAUUUUCAAAUUUUGCUGAGGAGUCAUAUAGACUAUUUGUCUGUCAUUUUCGCAAAGGUUUUAUGGAAAUUCAUCCACAAACUAUCAGAACUUACAGACAUAAAGGGUGAUUAGCCCGAUAUGUCCUGUACUGGCCAAGUACUGAUUUUAUCUGUUUCUCUUCACUGCCAUAGGCACAAAAAUUCUACCUCAGUCUUAUUGGAUUCCGCACCAAUACAAUUUGGUUCGGGAAAUUUCUUUCAAUGAACAUUUAGAGUUUUCAUAAACCUUAGUCUAGCUGAAUCGAAUAGCGUAGACUCAUAUCAAUAAUUCAAUUCAAUCGAAUUAUUUAAGUGUAGCCAAACCCCGUUGACAAAUUAAAUUUUAGUGAUUUUUUUUUUGAGAAUGACGUCAUGAUGCCGUACUGUAUUAACAGUCCGUGUGAGGAUGCCGUCAUUAUAUGACUUUGUCAUAACACAUCAUACAAUAGUGGAAUAACGAUUUUAGAUCAAAUUCACACUAAGUAUUCCUAUAUUUACAACUCCAUCAACUUUUUAUCAUCUCUGCAUCAGGUUACAUGGUACAUGAGUGAUAAAUAAAAUAUAUUUUGAUAUAUCAAAUCAUUUGCGUCUAGCUGAAAUAAGUAGUAUAGACUAUACUUUAAACUGUUUCAAAAAUGAUUACGAGUCUGCAUAUUUUUUUUAAAAGGCACAUAGUGCGUAUUUAGCUUGAUGUCAAAAUUUUGAAGUCUAGCAUAGUUAGGAGUUUUGGAAAACUUAUGUCUUCACUAAUAAUCGUUUUCUUAAACAAUCUAUCUAUUCUUAUUAUCUUUAAUACUCCAUUUACACACAACUAUACCCAGUUCGUAAAACCACACUUAUGAGUCCAUAAAUUGUCACAAUCAUAUGAGUUUAAGAACUUUUCUAGACAGACCGUUGGCGUCCAUUCGCUGAGGGGUUCAGAAACAUUUCAUAUAACUAUGAAUCAAGUAUGUCACAUAAGUAUGAGUUUUAAGAACUUGUACUUAACCUUAUAUCCUCUACCUAUGACCUAACUAUCUGUUAUACACAUGAAAAAUGAAUCACCCUCUUAACAUGCAUAUAUCAAAUAGCGCGACACAACAUUUCAAUGAUUAUAAUUGUCAGAACUUAGUAGUUGUUACACCAAGUAAAAUUCCCCGCCCACACAAGGAAUCAUACAACUCAGCUGCCGACAUGAAUCCUCAAUUGAAUCCCUACCUAACACUAACCCCCUUCUCAAUACGAAUUUCAUUCAACUCGUAUUCAUAUUCCUUUCCUGAAUCUGUACCAAUUUACACAACAAUAUUGCUGUAAACUUUCCAAUCAUCAGAUUGAUUCUUAUCCCAUACUAUAACCUUAUCCGAUCACGGGGUGAUCUCAUCGUAUAUAUUACGAUUCAUUUCUAUAUCUUGAUCAUUUUGUUUUACGAUCUCCUAUCACUGUACUUUUAGUCUUUUAGACUCUAUCUAUUCACCACUACUGUUCAACUUUAUUAUCAGAGUUAGGGAACUCUGUAUCUUUACACUCGCUGAGAUUCAUCUUUGAAUCUUAUCGACUAACUAACUCUGUGUAAGUUAGUACUUAUCCUAAUCAGUGCGGUUAUUAGUCUCAGGUAUUUCUACCUAAGGUUCAUAACCAACAACUUUGAUACUAACUGUGACGACCCCGAAUCCGAGGUCCCGAAUCACCGCGGAUCCGGUUCGAUCAUUCUAACACUAUUACUAUUUGCGGAAGAUAUAAACAUAAAUUGUUUAUACAUUAACUUUACACACUAUUCCCCAAGGUCGAGUAACCUUAACUUAAUACACAAAUCAUAACUUAUUUAACACAUAACAUUAUUAUUACACUAUACUAUUACAAAACUAAUCACGCACAUUAACUUUAAGCUGGAACUGUCUUUAACCUUUCCUUGUAUCUGACGCAUUCGCCUUAAUAUGCAAUGUUUUAUCAUGAUAUAGCAAGGGUUAGCAUAAAAGUUGCCCAGCAAGUUUAAAUUCAAUAAUAUAACGAUAUAUCAUGAUUGAAAGAGUCUGAAUAAUAAGCUGGCUAUAAUUCAACAAUAUAAUUGUGAACUAGCACGAACAAAUUUAUGACUGAACAAGUAUUAUACAUGAACAAAUAUAUCUGAAACCAACUGGUAAUGAAGGUGAUCAGCCUUUCAUACCUGACUUAUACAUGCAAUAUGUACAUAGUAUAAUUCAUGGCAACCAGCAAUGAUUAACCAUAAGCUUAUUCGAAUGAAACAACUCUUAGUAGAGUUCAGUAAAAACAAACUUGCCUGAACCGUUGAUUACCGCUACGCAAUUUAUAACGCUUUAUCCGAAGACCUAAUAUUAGUAAUAUAGAUCUUCAAUAUUAGAAUAAUACCAUCAUAAUAUACUACUAUUAUAUAUAUAGAUAUACAUAAACUAACCUAAACACAUAACACAUAACCUUAUCAGUCUACAACACACAUAAAACUCGGUAUCAAGUCAAACUAUUGCUGUCUGAGUUGAACCCGACACAAAACUGACAUCCCGACGGUCUAGUCAGAUAAUUAUCGAGUCUAAGUUCAAUUAAACUCUGACUUAAUACUUAACAAUUAUCUUAAAUAAUGUUAUUAACAGUUAAAACAUUUAUCGAAGUCUCCUAAUAAUUUUUAAAUAAUUAUUACUAUUUAUCAUGAAUUUUUCAAUCAUUAAACACGUAUUUAAAUGAAUUAAAUACCACAUAAUUCCUUUAUCAUUAAUAUUUAUUUAUUAUCAAAUAUUAAUAAAAUACAUGUCAUAAUAUUAUAAUAUAUUUAUAAUAUAUUAAAGUAUUUUUAAUACCUUAAAAUCACCUUUAUAUGAUUUUUAAACCGUUAAAUUCAUUAUCCGAUAAUACCUAUUAAUAUUAAAAUAUUAAUAUUUUCAUGACAAAAUAUCAAAAGUUAUAUUUUAUAACUUAAAAUAUUUUUAUAACACUUAAAUCAUUUUUAUAUGAUUUAUAAAACAUUAAUUCUAUUUUUCCUUAAUUUAUUUAAUAUAUUUAUUAAAUAAACUAAUUAUCAUUAAUAUUAAUUAAUUAAUGAAUUUCAUCACAGAAUAUUAAAAGUCACUAAAAAUAACUUAAAAUAUUUUCUUUUACCAUAAUAUUAUUUUUCAUAAUUUUUCAUGUAUUAAAAUCAUUUUUAAAUAAUUUAUUUAAUAUUAUAAUUAAAUAAAUUUAAUACCAUUUAUAUUCCAAAAAUAUUAAAUAUUUAUGAAAUAUACUCAAAAUAAUUAAAAACUAUUUUUCAGACUUUAAAAUAAUUUUUUGUAAUUUAUUUAGUAUUUUUAAUAAUUAAAAACCAUUUAAUUUGAUUUAUUAAACUAAUUAAUCUAUUUUCCGAAAAUAAUUGUCACUAAAGGGCCCUAUAGCGACAGACCCGUCGCUAUAGGUGUUCUUGAGCCUGCCCAGAUAAGCAAGUCAGUCACCGAGUUGGUAUGUUUGACCACAAAUGAAUCUGCGUUCCGGUCGAUUUUUGGGCUUGAUAAUGGUCAGAUCCUGUAGUAUUGAUGCAACACUACAUGAUCUAACCAUCAUCAGGGUUAUAAUGCAUCACACAAGCAAGAUCUAGACUUCUAAAAAGUCUGACAAAGUUGUUCUUCAUUUCUGGGUUCUCCAGAAAUGAAGAACAGUUGCUACUACCUCUUUUGGAUCCUUAUAAAAUGCAUAUUUAAGAUUUCUUUGUGUGAUAUGAAGGUUCACAUAUGUAGUGGAGAUGUCAGUGAACAACUUGAUAUCCUUAGAUUAGUCUAACAACAACAUUACACGAAGAUGUAGGCCGGUCAAACUACUUGUCA